This 107-nucleotide small RNA is filed under the name Mytilus galloprovincialis (Mediterranean mussel). The record is from RNAcentral. Lineage: Eukaryota; Metazoa; Mollusca; Bivalvia; Mytilida; Mytilidae.
UAUUGACUGGGUGUGAGGGUAAUAGCAAGUUUGUUGUCCAAAAGCCGCGCAAUAGUUGGUAUGCAAAGGGACAACAAACUUGCUUUUACCCGCACAACCAGCCAUUA